UUCACUUUCAUUUAUUGUCCCUUACUGAGAAUAAACUAUUCUGUGUCCCUCCUCCCCGGUUUUAAAGACAUGGUUAUAAAUUUAUAAUUCUUUCUAGAACAGAAGACACUAUUUGCAGCAAUGGAUCGAUUUUAGUUUUCUUCCCCAAUUCAUUCUUGACUAUUAUUUUUGUAAAAUAAAAGAAUGAAUCACUGGGUACAAAAUAUUAAAAGGGCAUAAAAAGCACAAAAUCAAGCAAGCAGAGACAAAGGGAUACAAAGUGUGCCCAUAAUUUUUAUAUGGGAGUGAGCAUGAGGUCACUUCCGAACUGCUAUGCAAUGUCCUGAGAGCUCAGCCUCAAAGUCUUUUCCUCUCCAGCAGAAGAAAAACAAAGCUACAGAGAUCAGUCCUGUCCAUGGAUCACAACAGACGAUGACUCUCUCAAGAGGUUCUUCUUCAAACAGUCCUACAAUCCACAGCAGCCACCUCCACCAACCUCCAAACCCAUCAAAGACAACGGAGAGCUAUGGACACGUUCUUAGAGGUCAACUCUUUUUAAAAAUUAAACUUUUUUCUUCAUAUCACAUUUUCCAUAUAGCUUCACUCAUCUUGUGCUUGUAAUUUCUUUAGGAGAGAUUGCCCUCCAACUUUUGACAUCCAAACCCUUUACUUAGGUCCUUUAUUUCAUCUCAGAUCACUCCUCAAAUGAUCACAAUGGCCAGGCCAAAGCCAUGAGCCUGGAGCUCCAUCCAGUUGUGCCACAUGGGUUACAGGGGCUAAAUAACUUGGGCCAUAUGCAGCUGCUUUCCCAGGCAUAUUAUCAGGGUGUUGGGUUAGAGUUGGAAUUGCCAGGAAUCCAACUGGGCCCAGAUGGGGUGCCAGCACUGCAAGUGUCUGCUUAACCUCUGACCUACAACAUUGUCCCCUUUCUAAAUUACCAUUCUCUUUUCCUGAUCCU
Molecule: long non-coding RNA, 937 nt
Filed under: Oryctolagus cuniculus (rabbit)
Lineage: Eukaryota; Metazoa; Chordata; Mammalia; Lagomorpha; Leporidae
Description: lncRNA (ENSOCUG00000036664.1)
Source: RNAcentral